UGCCUAACAGCUAGCCCAGUAAAUCAAAAACAACAAUUCAUUAUUAAUAACCCCUAAUACAAUAAAGUAAAUUAAACAAAUCAUUUUUCCCCCUUAGUAUGGGCGACAGAAAAG
This 114-nucleotide ribosomal RNA is filed under the name Hypodytes rubripinnis (redfin waspfish). RNAcentral's name for it is "partial 16S rRNA". Lineage: Eukaryota; Metazoa; Chordata; Actinopteri; Perciformes; Tetrarogidae. The record is from RNAcentral.